UCUAAGCACUAUGACCUACCCUUCAUAUUGAGUCACUUUAAGGAUGCUCAAGCACUUCUUUUCCUCCCAUGUCUCUCUUGUCUUUUCUUUUUAAUCUCUCUGUCUCCGUCUCUUGUUGUCUGUCUGUAUGCAGGAUACCUUCCUCCCUCAUAUGGAGUGUGGGACAGGGACUCUGAUGGGGGUGACCACGGAGAACCCUUUGUUCCAGGUGAACGCAGCUCUGCUGAGAAGGUGCGGGGUCCUGGUUCUGGACAAGCUGUCUGUGGAGGCGCUGGGGAUCAGCGUACUGGAGAAGAUCUCAGCGAACUCAUGGAUCAAGAUGAGUUAGACUCAGCCGAGCUCGGAUCCGAGUCUAUAUUCCUGUGUGACGGCGACGCCUGGGCGGGGCUCAACAGGCUCCAGUGAGCUGUCCAUGCCCGGGUGGGUGAGGCCCGUCCUGGCCAAUCAGCACCCGGCAGCGACCCUCCUCGGGACAUCAGGCCUUAGGAGGAGCAUGUGAAGGAGGGCCUUCAGAGGUCCGACAUCCGUCUAUGUCUACGCAAAGCAGCUGUUACAGAACUACCCACCACCAAAGGACCAAGCAGCAUGGAAGAGAGGACUGGACAUGGGAGGCCAGAGUCACCCUCCUGCCCGGGGCUGCCAGAGUCGCCCUCCUGUCCGGGGUCGGCGGCGAGGGUCCUCGCUCCAGAGGCGCCAUCUAAGUGGGCCAAGGUGGAGUGGGGUCCACAUCCCGCACCAGAGCCGCCACUGCGGCUAUAUGCCCACCCAGGCCCUCCCCAAUAGGGUUAGGUUUUGCGGCUGGAGUCCGCACCUUUGGGGGGGGGGGGACUGUCACGCCCUGACCUUAGAGAUCCUUUUUAUGUGUCUAUUUUGGUUUGGUUGGGGUGGGCAUACUAUGUUUUUGUGUUCUGUGUUUUCUAUUUCUGUGUGUUUGGCCGGGUGUGGUUCUCAAUCAGAGGCAGCUGUCUAUCAUUGUCUCUGAUCGAGAACUAUACUUAGGUAGCCUUUUCCCACCUGCGUUUUGUG
This is a long non-coding RNA of Oncorhynchus gorbuscha (pink salmon), 1026 nucleotides long. RefSeq lists it as uncharacterized. NCBI's taxonomy places the organism in Eukaryota, Metazoa, Chordata, Actinopteri, Salmoniformes, Salmonidae. The record is from RefSeq and is a predicted model, not a curated record. The transcript is spliced from 3 exons.